GACGAACGCUGGCGGCGUGCCUAACACAUGCAAGUCGAACGCUCUCCAUUCGGUAGCAAUACCGAUGAAGAGGGAGUGGCGAACGGGUGAGUAGCACGUGAGCAACCUGCCCCGAAGACUGGGACAACACCGGGAAACCGGUGCUAAUACCGGAUAUCCCUAUCGGACCGCAUGAUCUGAUAAGGAAAUGGAUUCCGCUUCGGGAGGGGCUCGCGGCCUAUCAGCUAGUUGGUGAGGUAAUAGCUCACCAAGGCAUCGACGGGUAGCUGGUCUGAGA
Molecule: ribosomal RNA, 277 nt
Filed under: uncultured bacterium
Lineage: Bacteria
Description: partial 16S ribosomal RNA
Rfam family: Bacterial small subunit ribosomal RNA
Source: RNAcentral